GCCAACUGUGAACAGAAAAUAUUUUUAAAAAUUGUGUCUGUACUGAGCAUAAACAGACUUUUUUCUUGUUAUUAUACACUAAACAAUAGAUUACAGCAACCAUUUACAUAGAAAUUAUGUUGUAUUAGGUAUUAUAAGUAAUUCAGAGGUGAUUUAAAGUAUAUGAUGGGAUGUGCAUAGAAUAUGUGCAAAUACUAUGCCAUUUAAAAAAAGAUUUAUUUAUUUGAAAGAUAGCGAGAUGGUGGGUGUCGCUCCCUGUCUUCGUGGAGGAACGACACUAGACCCUGCGCUCUUCUUUUGUCUGCUCGGCCCUUCCCGGGUUUGCUGCUGGUUCUUCCCAGGUUGGCUGCCGAUCCUUCCACCUCCGUGGAAGGGCGGCUCCCCCUGCCACUUUCCCCACUUCCGAGGGGGAGCGGCACACCGCCGGCCGGCUCUCUCAGGGGCUGCUCAGAUGUUAUCCAGAUGUUCCCUGUAGAUGUUCCUGGUGCAUGUUGUCUCUCUCCUCCUUUAUAGUCCUCUUCCACCAAUCCCAACUCUGCUACCCACACGCCGAGUACGCUGCUCUCCUCCAAUCAGGAGCAGAUCCUAUAGUUUAUUGGUUGAACUGGAGGCAGCUGUGUAGAAGCUGUUUACUCCUCUCCCAGCGCCAUAUUGUGGGAGAGCAGAUGCAUAGAAUAAGUCUUAAUUCCAGUAACUUAGUCUAGUCCGAGUUGCUCCCCACAGUGGGGGUGGAGGGUGGAGAGAGAGAGGAGAGAGAGAUUGAUCUUUCAUCUUCAGUUUUACUUCCCAAAUGUCUGUAACAGCCAGGGCUGGGUCAGGCUGUGUGUGUGUGAUGUGUAUUUCAUCUAUGACACAACAUACAGGGCUGGACCAAUGUUUGCCAUCCUAGCUUCUCCUUUCUUCCCCUUUCACAUUCUGACCUCCAGUGAUGAGCUUUGCAGAAUAGCUGUAGUCUCACCCUUAGGCCUCUGCAUUUUCUGCCCACACCUCCUUCUUUACCUCUCUCAUUCCAUUCUAUGCAUCUGUCCUCUUAAAAGCCUCUCCUGGGGGCUGGCGUUGUGGUGCAGUGAGUUAAGCUGCCACUUGCGAUGUAGACUUCCCAUAUUGGAGCAACAAUUCAAGUCCUGGCUGCUCCACUUCCAAUCCAGCUCACUGCUAAUGUGCCUGGGAAAGCAGCAGACAAUGUCCCAAGUAUCUGGGCCCCUGGGAUCCAUGUGGGAGACCUGGGUGGGUUUCCUGGCUCCUGGCUUCAGCCUGGCCCAUUCCCUGGCUGUGUGA
This 1278-nucleotide long non-coding RNA is filed under the name Oryctolagus cuniculus (rabbit). RNAcentral describes it as "lncRNA (ENSOCUG00000038755.1)". Lineage: Eukaryota; Metazoa; Chordata; Mammalia; Lagomorpha; Leporidae. The record is from RNAcentral.